UUUCAAGAUUAAGCCAUGCAUGUCUAAGUAUAAGCAAUUAUACCGCGAAACUGCGAAUGGCUCAUUAAAUCAGUUAUCGUUUAUUUGAUAGUACCUUACUACUUGGAUAACCGUGGUAAUUCUAGAGCUAAUACAUGCUAAAAAUCCCGACUUCGGAAGGGAUGUAUUUAUUAGAUUAAAAACCAAUGCCCUUCGGGGCUCACUGGUGAUUCAUAAUAACUUUUCGAAUCGCAUGGCCUUGCGCCGGCGAUGGUUCAUUCAAAUUUCUGCCCUAUCAACUUUCGACGGCUGGGUCUUGGCCAGCCAUGGUGACAACGGGUAACGGAGGGUUAGGGCUCGACCCCGGAGAAGGAGCCUGAGAGACGGCUACUACAUCCAAGGAAGGCAGCAGGCGCGCAAAUUACCCAAUCCCGACACGGGGAGGUAGUGACAAUAAAUACUGAUACAGGGCUCUUUAGGGUCUUGUAAUUGGAAUGAGUACAAUUUAAAUCCCUUAACGAGGAACAAUUGGAGGGCAAGUCUGGUGCCAGCAGCCGCGGUAAUUCCAGCUCCAAUAGCGUAUAUUAAAGUUGUUGCAGUUAAAAAGCUCGUAGUUGAACCUUGGGCCUGGCUGGCCGGUCCGCCUCACCGCGUGCACUGGUCCGGCCGGGUCUUUCCCUCUGGGGAACCGCAUGCCCUUCACUGGGUGUGCUGGGGAACCAGGACUUUUACUUUGAAAAAAUUAGAGUGUUCAAAGCAGGCCUAUGCUCGAAUACAUUAGCAUGGAAUAAUAGAAUAGGACGUGUGGUUCUAUUUUGUUGGUUUCUAGGACCGCCGUAAUGAUUAAUAGGGACAGUCGGGGGCAUCAGUAUUCAAUUGUCAGAGGUGAAAUUCUUGGAUUUAUUGAAGACUAACUACUGCGAAAGCAUUUGCCAAGGAUGUUUUCAUUAAUCAGGAACGAAAGUUAGGGGAUCGAAGACGAUCAGAUACCGUCGUAGUCUUAACCAUAAACUAUGCCGACUAGGGAUCGGACGAAGUUAUUUUUUGACUCGUUCGGCACCUUACACGAAAGUAUAAGUUUCUGGGUUCUGGGGGGAGUAUGGUCGCAAGGCUGAAUAG
This 1098-nucleotide ribosomal RNA is filed under the name Thyridium sp. Its description in RNAcentral is "SSU rRNA". It matches the Rfam family "Eukaryotic small subunit ribosomal RNA", at positions 36 to 1143 of the family's 1831-position model. Lineage: Eukaryota; Fungi; Ascomycota; Sordariomycetes; Thyridiales; Thyridiaceae. The record is from RNAcentral.